GUUCGGGUCUCGUGCAACAUGAGCCUUCGAACCCUGUCAGGUCCGGAAGGAAGCAGCAGUAAGGAGGUCUUUAUGUGUGCCGCGAGGGUGCCUGGCCCGG
This 100-nucleotide signal recognition particle RNA is filed under the name Clostridiales bacterium. Its description in RNAcentral is "signal recognition particle sRNA small type". It matches the Rfam family "Bacterial small signal recognition particle RNA". From Rfam's summary of the family: The signal recognition particle (SRP) is a universally conserved ribonucleoprotein involved in the co-translational targeting of proteins to membranes. Archaeal SRP consists of a 7S RNA and homologues of the eukaryotic SRP19 and SRP54 proteins. In most bacteria, the SRP consists of a 4.5S RNA and the Ffh protein (a homologue of the eukaryotic SRP54 protein). Lineage: Bacteria; Bacillati; Bacillota; Clostridia; Eubacteriales. The record is from RNAcentral.